This 310-nucleotide signal recognition particle RNA is filed under the name Octodon degus (degu). RNAcentral's name for it is "Metazoan signal recognition particle RNA (ENSODEG00000025878.1)". It matches the Rfam family "Metazoan signal recognition particle RNA". Rfam says of the family: The signal recognition particle (SRP) is a universally conserved ribonucleoprotein. It is involved in the co-translational targeting of proteins to membranes. The record is from RNAcentral. Lineage: Eukaryota; Metazoa; Chordata; Mammalia; Rodentia; Octodontidae.
GCCAGCCAUGGUGGCGUGCACCUGUAGUCCUAGCUACUCAGGAGGCAAAGGUGGGAGGAUUGUUUGAGUCCAGGAGUUCUGGGCUGCAUUGUGCUAUGCCUAUUGGGUGUCCACACUAAGUUUGGCAUCAAUUCGGUGACGUCCCAUGGGUGGGGGACCACCAGGUUGCCUAAGGGGUGAACCAGACCAGGUGAACUUAACCAGGUGAGAAAUGGAGCAGGUCAAAACUCCCAUGCUGAUCAGUAGUGGGAUCACGCCUGUGAAUAGCCACUGCACUCCAGCCUGGGCGAUAUAGUGAGACCGUGUCUCU